UUGGUGGGGUAACGGCCUACCAAGGCGACGACGGGUAGCCGGCCUGAGAGGGCGACCGGCCACACUGGGACUGAGACACGGCCCAGACUCCUACGGGAGGCAGCAGUGGGGAAUAUUGCGCAAUGGGCGAAAGCCCGACGCAGCGACGCCGCGUGGGGGAUGAAGGCCUUCGGGUUGUAAACCCCUUUCAGCAGGGACGAAGCGAAAGUGACGGUACCUGCAGAAGAAGCGCCGGCUAACUACGUGCCAGCAGCCGCGGUAACACGUAGGGCGCAAGCGUUGUCCGGAAUUAUUGGGCGUAAAGAGCUCGUAGGCGGUCUGUUGCGUCCGCUGUGAAAACUCGGGGCUUAACCCCGAGCCUGCAGUGGAUACGGGCAGACUAGAGGUAGGUAGGGGAGAAUGGAAUUCCCGGUGUAGCGGUGAAAUGCGCAGAUAUCGGGAGGAACACCGGUGGCGAAGGCGGUUCUCUGGGCCUUACCUGACGCUGAGGAGCAAAAGCGUGGGGAGCGAAC
RNAcentral lists this ribosomal RNA (512 nucleotides) under uncultured bacterium. RNAcentral describes it as "bacterial SSU rRNA". It matches the Rfam family "Bacterial small subunit ribosomal RNA", at positions 249 to 773 of the family's 1533-position model. The record is from RNAcentral.